RNAcentral lists this ribosomal RNA (504 nucleotides) under uncultured bacterium. RNAcentral describes it as "partial 16S ribosomal RNA". It matches the Rfam family "Bacterial small subunit ribosomal RNA", at positions 29 to 523 of the family's 1533-position model. The record is from RNAcentral.
AUUGAACGCUGGCGGCAGGCCUAACACAUGCAAGUCGGACGGUAGCACAGAGAGCUUGCUCUUGGGUGACGAGUGGCGGACGGGUGAGUAAUGUCUGGGGAUCUGCCCGAUAGAGGGGGAUAACCACUGGAAACGGUGGCUAAUACCGCAUAACGUCGCAAGACCAAAGAGGGGGACCUUCGGGCCUCUCACUAUCGGAUGAACCCAGAUGGGAUUAGAUAGUAGGCGGGGUAAUGGCCCACCUAGGCGACGAUCCCUAGCUGGUCUGAGAGGAUGACCAGCGACACUGGAACUGAGACACGGUCCAGACUCCGACGGGAGGCAGCAGUGGGGAAGAUUGCACAAUGGGCGAAAGCCUGAUGCAGCCAUGCCGCGUGUAUGAAGAAGGCCUUCGCGUUGUAAAGUACUUUCAGCGGGGAGGAAGGCGGUGCGGUUAAUAACCGUACCGAUUGACGUUACCCGCAGAAGAAGCACCGGCUAACUCCGUGCCAGCCGCCGCAGUAA